RNAcentral lists this long non-coding RNA (452 nucleotides) under Brassica napus (rape). RNAcentral describes it as "long non-coding RNA (BNAP_LNC023319)". Lineage: Eukaryota; Viridiplantae; Streptophyta; Magnoliopsida; Brassicales; Brassicaceae. The record is from RNAcentral.
GCCAAUCACCUUGCACCUUGUAAAACCGAUUGGCCCAUUGGCUUCACCAAAGCAUACGACCAUACUUAGUCUAUAGAAAUUAUAGCAGGUUUGAAUUAUCUAUAUGAAUGCACCAAACACAGGUAAUACACUCUCCCUCAAUUCCUUAUGUAUCAAUCAUGCAACCCUCAAUCAAUCCAACCAAACAAUCCUAGAUCGACCCAAAGGCCAUAAACAUGAACAUGCCAGUCAUAAACAUUUGGUUCUAACUCUACUCACCUUAGUCAAUUAGAGAGAAUCAGAGAGAAGAGAAUCACAAACAACAAAAGGCACCCUUUUUGUCUUUUUCUGAAAACUGCCCAAUCGCCUUGCCAGACUGUCUCACCAGACCGUCUGACCACCCGUCUGGUUGGGUCAACCACUCGGCCUUAACCAUUUUCUGGUUAAACCUCUCCUUAUCUCACGCCGCAAUC